AGUCAGAAACCCAGGCAUGUGCCCUGACAGAAUCAAACCAGACACCUCUUGGUUCAUGGGACAUGCUCAAUCCAUUGAGCCACACUGGCUGGGCUCAUUCUAAUCCUUACUUUCUAAUUUUAGGAGAGUAUAGAAAGAAUUUGUAAAUACUCUGAAGUCAUUUGAUAUUGAGCACUGAUAGGUAUAAGAUAUUAGGUAUUUUUUCUGCCUUAAUUUACAAUAAAACAUUCAGGCUUUCCAUAUUAUCAAAUGUCAACUACUUGGAACACCAGCAGAAAAGAGGAGAGAAUUUUUAAAAGAAUAUUAAGCAGCUGAAAAAUGAUGUCAGAAAGUCCAAAUUCUAAAACCUAUUUUAAAACUUCACUUAGCAAAGGACCUCUUACUUUUCAGAGCCUAUUUAUUUAUAUUUUAUAAACAAGCUUAAGAUAGUUGGUUGAUGUUUUCUGCUACUCACUAAGAGGUAGCAAGUCUAUAUGUACAUUUAUGUACAUAAAAGGUAAUAUCAUGGGGAAGAGGCAGAAAAACCAAUACCAACACUUGAGAAUAUAGGAUACUAGUCAAACUUAACUGCUGUAACUU
Pipistrellus kuhlii (Kuhl's pipistrelle) is the source of this 579-nucleotide long non-coding RNA. RefSeq lists it as uncharacterized. The transcript has 2 exons. The record is from RefSeq and is a predicted model, not a curated record. Lineage: Eukaryota; Metazoa; Chordata; Mammalia; Chiroptera; Vespertilionidae.